UCGUAAAGCGGCGAUGAAGCUCGCCAAGGAAUUUUCACCUGAACCGCUUGCUUAAGGCUGAUAGCUUCUACCGGUAU
This 77-nucleotide non-coding RNA is filed under the name Dehalogenimonas alkenigignens. Its description in RNAcentral is "Fluoride sequence". It matches the Rfam family "Fluoride riboswitch aptamer (crcB RNA motif)". The record is from Rfam by way of RNAcentral. Lineage: Bacteria; Bacillati; Chloroflexota; Dehalococcoidia; Dehalococcoidales; Dehalococcoidaceae.